RNAcentral lists this long non-coding RNA (4199 nucleotides) under Mus musculus (house mouse). Its description in RNAcentral is "long non-coding RNA chr16:72797806-72802005". Lineage: Eukaryota; Metazoa; Chordata; Mammalia; Rodentia; Muridae. The record is from RNAcentral.
AGUUUCAGAGUUACAUUCACAAAACACAUGGUUUAGCUGUACUCAGAAAACUCUUCCAAACUAAAAUUUAAAAUAUCAAAAAUAAUUCAGAUAUUAAAUAAAAUCUAAAAACAAAAUCAGAGAAGGAAUGUUUAGAUGGUGGCAUAUAUAACACUAAAGUAAACACAUAGAUUCACUAAAAUACUCAAUAGGAACUUUAUACUAAGUCAUUAAUAUACUAGAAUAGUGAAGAAUUGUAGUCCUUUUAAUAUCCCUUGCCUGAAGACAAACAGGUGUAGUCAGAGUAGGGAUUGUUGCUGUAAUGGGCAUUUAGAAGGCAUGCAGAAUAUCAGCACAUUUUAUUGAUAUCUAAAUUCCAUUGGGCCACCUACGUGAUUUUUUUUUUUUUGGUUUUGUUUUGUUUUAACUUACAGAAAGUAGAAAAUCAAAACCUUGAACCCCACACCACAUUGUCUGAGAAGAAAAUCUGUUGUAGGUUAGCACAUGUUUUGUUUUAGCAGUCAACCGUGGAGAAAAACAGGUGAAAGAAGGGGUCCAAAGAAUGGAAGUGACAUUCUAUAGGGUAAAGAGAACAGGCUAUCUUUAAGUGUCUGGCCAAAAUACAUGCUCGGACUGAGUGCAUACGUAGGCAAAGACAGUUAAAGGAGAGUGGGGAGGAGAAAGAUGGAAGGUGAAGAGCUAAGCGUAGAUAAACUGACAGUUUGGUAGUGGGGAUAGGGAAGUGUAGAAAGAAAAUGUGGCCAUUCCCCUUGAGGUGACAGAAAGACUCCAGGGAGAAGAGGCAUUUGGCAGAACAUUCUGCAGGGUGGCCGUCUGCUCUCGAAAUGUCAGCUCAAAACAGCUUGUUGUGUUUUGAAGAGAGCGUAUGAGUUGUGAGAAGCGGGCAGAAACAGAAGGGAAGGCAGUCCAGGAUGGGCUGAGUGUGUGGUGGGUGUUCACGUGGUCACUGGAGGACAGAGGAUUCUGGGAUGACUGUGUCAACUUCGAUGACUGUGUUCAGUCUCCACUGCUUACCGGUUUGGUAAGGGUCAUAGUUCAUAUCCCUCUGUGUCUCUGUUGCUCUGUGUCUGUCUGUCUGUCUGUCUCUCCCUCCCCGCCCCUCUCUGUUCAUGUUUCUGUAUCAAAAGACCGCAUAACCUUUACUUUUCUCCCUGGAAUCACGUGGUUUCCCUUGCCGCAGAAGCAUCUCCAGAUAUUGCCCUGUGUCUGUCUGUAUAUUAGAAAGUAGCAGGCUUGUUCGGAUGGUAGUUAAGCCUUGAGACCCCGAAAGCCAAGAGUCAGGAGAGGUAGCUCGUAUCUACUCUCUGGGUUUCUUUCCUCAUUUUGGAAUAGGAUCUGAUUCUUUAGCCCAGGCUGGAUGCACUUUCUAUCCACAGGGGUACCCUCAAACCCUCUACAGUCUUCCUGCAUCACCCCCAGGAAUGCUGGGAUUAUAGGCAAAGGCCACAAAAUGCCUGGCUUUGAGGAAAAAAAAAUCCAGUUUUUCAACUCAUAUUAUUUUCCAAGAGAUGAACAAAUAUGGCUCAAGUACACAUAAAUAUCAAAGUGAAUUCACCCUGAAGUCCACGUUGCUUAUUGCUCUUCAUCUAACAACAGUCAAAGGGUUAAACUUCAUAGCCUCUAUUUGUGUGUUUAUUUUAUUUCCAUUUGUUCAGUACCCAUUAAAAGUAUAAUAUUACAUUGGUAACUCUCAUUAAAAUGUUGAGUAACUUCUCUUAUUGGAUGACCAUAAAACCAUUUAAAUGGAAUUUCUACUUAAACAAGUGGAAAAUAUUUCUGCUUCCGUCCUUGCCUCUUUUUACUGGGUGUUUGUUGUCCAUGGUCCUUGCAGAGUCAUAAAUAAAACCUGCCAUUUUUUUUUUAAAUUCCUGGUGAGGAUGCAUUUUCAAUAGCAUAUAAAGGGAGAGUAUAGAAAAGGGUGGCCCCAGUUAGGAAAUUAGCUCAUUAUGGUCAAAUGCAGUGAACCAAACGACUUAUCCCGUUGAAGAUGCUGAGCUCCUAAAAAUAGUCAGACUUUUCGAAAUUAGACAAUAAAAGAAAAAUGCGAUUCCUUGUUUUUAUUUGUCACUUUAGUGGCAUUUUUAUUAUUUCCUUCAAAUGUUUUAGCACCAGAUAUAAAUGCCUCCAUCCACAAGGCUAGUCCUUUCCAUUGGAUAGAGGGAGGACUCUUGAAUGUAAAAGGAGGAGUCUGUGAGAUGGAUGGGGUUGGGAGCAAAGGUGGUGCUCCCAUUACACCCUCUCACAACCUGAGGAUGCUGACCUCAGCCCAUAGGUGCUUCUGCAGCCUCUGUCUUUCAUGUGUUGCUCAGAAUCCUCUCAUCGAUAUUUUUUCCCAUUAUUAGAGAAACAAAUAAACUCAUCUCUGCUGGGAUUAAUUUGCCCCAGCCUGAAGCAAUGAGCCUCCACUGGCAGCCACUCCCGAGCUGAAUAAGCAGCCUCCCUGCAUCUGUUGACAAUAUGAAAUCCUCGCAGCCGCCAAUAUUCAUAAGGAGUGGCCCCCACGGGGCGGGGCGUAGCAGUCAAUCACCAACGGAGCCCCGGCCAUUUGAAGAACAGCAUAUAAUUCCAGCUUUUUCUAAGCUAUAUUUAAAUGAAGGCUUUUUUGCUCCCUUGGAUCAGAAUGUGGAGAAUCUGCGUGGACCUAAUUUUACUUGAAGAGACCUAGUUAUAGAGCUGGUUUGGGCUGAAAAUGCCUGAAGGUAUUUCCAGCUGGACAUGGUUCUGUCUUAUGAAACCCUGACAUAAAUAGCUGCUCUCUAGCAGGCCAGUUCCUCCUGCUACAGAUUGUGUGCCGUGAUUGGAAAGGGAACUGUAAAGUUGGGGGGCUCGAUGCAGGAGUCAAAGUGCUUGAGUGUUGGGAGACCAGCGGUGCGAAUUAAUUGGCUGUCCUUAUAGUACAUAUCAUUUAAAUGCAGUACAUCUUUCUUCCUGCAAUGGGUCGUCACAGUUUAGGGAGUGUAACUGAUCGACUCCUUCCCUUCAUUAGUGAGUGUGUGCUGAUGAUUUGUACGACUGCUUAUUUAGAGUCAGGGUUGUCUAUAGCCCAAUGCUCCGUUCUGCAUGCCCUGGUCUUGGAAAGCUGACUUGGCAACGGUAGAAUGAAGCAAUGGCAGACAGACAUACAGAAAAGCCAAGAGUGGAUGAGCUGUGCUGGUUCUGGUGGGAGGGGAGUCGUGGGGCGGGGCAUCUACUAUCCAGCCCAGAGACUCUAGAUCUUCAUUGGGUACAACACAAGAAUGAGGGCUUAGGUCGUCUGCAUGGAAGAAGUCCAGGCUGUAAACUGUAAGCAGCCAGGAGAAGGUAGCUGUGGUUCAUACUGAUCAUAGCAUAAGCUCAGUUGUUCCUCACCACUCAUUAGCAAGGCUGUGACAUUUCUCUAAACCUUCUCCCCUGGGGAAGAGACUUUGCUAUUUCCAUGGGUCUUGGGUAUUGAGGUCUUUGUCAUGGUCUAGGACUCCACCGACUCUCCACAGCCUUGUCUGGCUUGAACUUCUUAUUUUCUUAACUCCAUCUUCUGAGUGCUGGCAUUACAAGCAUGUUUAUUGCAUUUUUUUAAGUGCUAAAGACUCAACCUAGAAAUCCAUGCAUGCUAAGGAAUCACUUUCCUAACUGAGCUAUACCAAAAAUUCCCCGUGAUCUUUUAUUUUACUUCGUUUUUAACCUAGGUGUGUAUGGAGAGGGCGGCCAGGUACCUUUUCUUAGGAAGAGAGAUUUGAGUUUGUGUGGGUACCUCACCAAGCUUUCCAAGGGUAAAAAUAUUCAAAUAUACUCCUUUGUAGUCACAAAAAUACAACAGAAUAGGACUGCGCUUGUUAUGCAGGUGAAUUUAUUUGAUGACACCUUAAAAAAAGAUAUUAUGUAUCGACCUUCUGAUUCUAGUUUGCAUAACUAGGUGAAUUGAUAUUGCUAGAGGGAUUAAUGCAUAUAAUCUAAAAUGAUUUUAGUAUGAUUUACCAGUGAAGAACAAACCGUCCCACACUGUGACUUCUGUAGUAACUCAAAGGUGUUCAGUGAACCUUCUGUAGUUUAAUGGAUCUAAAGCUAACAUAUCUAAGGUUGUAUGUUAUGUGUUAUCCAGGGUCCUGUGAGACUUACCUGUCAUCCUGGGGGAAUGGCUACAGCUCACUUCUUUGCUUUCAGAACAGUCCCGGGUUCUGAUUGGCUCUGUGUGUUCUAGAUACAAAAUCCAAAUUAAAAGG